This 713-nucleotide long non-coding RNA is filed under the name Nicotiana benthamiana. RNAcentral's name for it is "long non-coding RNA (NBEN_LNC011851)". The record is from RNAcentral. Lineage: Eukaryota; Viridiplantae; Streptophyta; Magnoliopsida; Solanales; Solanaceae.
GGUUUACAUGCUUGAUAUGAUCGAUAUUCUUGCUACAGGAUUAUAGCUUAGUGCAAAAUAUGAGCUCGUAACUCUCUUUGCCUCAUUUUAUACUAGUAUGAAGUAAAGUCACAAGAAUAGAGGAAUAAUAAUGCUACCUGAUGAAAUACAAAACUUUUAAACUAUAAUUUCAAAAUACAUGUGUUCAGUGCUAAAUUGAAUCCAUUAACUUUAAAUCCUCUUCAAAACGUGAUUCUAGAAGCCCAAAGGAACAAGGAGCUAAGGAUGUUUAAAGGAAUUAAUUGGCAAAUUUGCUAGGGGGAGCAGAAAACGUCGCAUUGUUCUAACCACUUGUGCUCAUAAUCCAUUGUCGAAGAAGUGUCCAAUAAAGCCUGCAAAUUUCCACGAAUUUUUUGCAAGCACUUGUGGUGACGAAGUCUCCUCAGCACAACAUUCUUAUCAAGAGAUUGAUGAGACGACUUCAAAUAGAGUUGGCUACUUACACUCUCAGUCUCAUGAUUGUCUUGGUCAUUAUGUGAGAAACUCACCUUUUGGGGCUCAGAGAAAGAAGAUCGUUGCUCUUUAGAUAUCAAGAAAGCCAUGUUUCUUUGAAUGAUGGUAAUAUCAAUAUUUCUCACAACUUAAGAGGUAAUGGAAGAAUGGUGAGUUGGAUUAAAUCUAUAAAUAGCAUUCUAUAUGCAAAUAUUUCUGUGGGUAUAUAGGCAACUCUUUUG